UGUAAAAAUGAUUUUUAACCUCCUUUAACAUUUUUUUGAGUCAAAUUGUUUUCCCCUCUCUAUGGGGGUCAUGUGUGGGAGACUGGUGAUGGGUGAUUGGAUCUGAGGGCUGUUGUAGCCAUGGAGAGGGAGAGUUAGUCAGCUAGGAAAACUAGCAGCUAGAGAGAAAGAGUGAGAUAAGGAGAAGGACCAGAAAGGUGAAGCCAGCAUGCCUUUUGAGAAGGACCAGGGGAAGAAUCAUGGCACCAUGACUGGGGCUAUGACUUCCUUUAUUGUGACUAAAAGAAAGAGUUUUAUAGAGAGAAAAAUCCUAAGCACAACAACAUUCUUGGGGGCUGGAUGUGCUACUCUCCCACAGGAUAAUGUUUAUGAAAAUGACUCCACAUAUGAACAUUACCAGGGUUGCUAUUAUAGAGAUAAGACAACACCAGAGGACAACAAUCAAGAUGUCAAUCAAGAAAGAACAUUUCAAAUACAAUGUUCCCAGGAAUGUCAGGUGGAGCAUGGCCAGGGGAUGAACUGAGAGACUGCUUGAGCUUCUGACCAAGGGGAGACUGGCUUGGUUUCUGACCUAGGCUGAGGCUUUGGUGUGGCUGAUGUUGGUCAUUGAUUGUUAUAUACUGGGCUGAUUAGAAGAAGACAGAAGAAAGUCAAUUGUCCUUCAUAUCUCCUUGACAGACUUGUGUCACAGCUGUGACAGAACUGACAUUUCCCAAAAUCCUCCUAACCUUCCUUAGAGAUUAGGGAACACCUUAUCCCUCUCACCUC
Molecule: long non-coding RNA, 768 nt
Filed under: Monodelphis domestica (gray short-tailed opossum)
Lineage: Eukaryota; Metazoa; Chordata; Mammalia; Didelphimorphia; Didelphidae
Description: lncRNA (ENSMODG00000036648.1)
Source: RNAcentral